AUGUGUUUAUCACUUCUGAUGACAGUCGAUCUGAAUUUGCUAGAAUUUGAUCGACCUCGUUUGAAACGGCUUGGGAUGCUAAAAUCUCACUAUCUGAAGCUAAUUCAUCUACUUCACUCAGUCCGCUUACAUCAAACCAGUCAGUUAACACCAAAUUAUCGGCCUCCUCCUCUGAGGGAUUUUGGCUGGCUAAAAUUCUAUCUAAUAAUUCAUCAUCUACGUUUAAUUCAUCAUCUACUUCAAACAAAUCUGAAAGGUCAUCAAACCAAUUUUCACUCAUGAUACAAAAUACAUUAAAAACCUACUAAAAAUGAAGAAAAAAAUCUGCGUCCUCCUUUACAGAGCCAGAACUUGUUGCACCACAUCCACCAGGCCGGAGUUCACUUGUAGGAGCAGGUAGCCCAUUUUCAUCCUGUUUAAUCGCUGAAGUGGCGUAAAUCUGCCCCGCUUCUUCUUCUUCAAUCGUUUUUCUGAUGAAAAAAUAAAUAAAAAUAAAUAAAAUGAACGAGCUUUUAAAUAAAUUAUAUAUAUAUAAAUUUAACUUACUCUGUACAGGUGCAGGAGGUGGGGCGUUCUCUUCCUCUUCAUCUGAAAGGAUAAAAAGCAUCAUAUUUUUUACUUCAAAAUUUAAUAUACGCUGCGGAGCGGUUUUGUGAAACAGCUUACCGGCUGGCUGCUCAGGAACACGUUCAGCGGUUUCAGAGUCGCUGUCGGAUUGAUCUGAAAGAAUAAAAACAAGGAAAAAUAUGAACGAAUCAUCUUUGAAGUAAAUAACCACCUUUUUAUAUAUAUCUUACCCUGUGCAGGAGAAGGGGGAGGAGGAGGAGGAGGUGUGGGCAGAGAUAUUGAAGCGGCUGUCGGAUGUUGUUCUGAAAGGAUAAAAACAACGGUAAAUGUGAACGAGUCAUCUUUGACUUAUUAAUCAGUUGUUUUUUAUCGUUACCAUCCGUCUGCGCAGUAGAAGGGGGUGGAGGUGGUGGGGGCUGAGAUAUUGGGGGUGCGUAGGCCGUCGGCCGUUGCUCUGGAGAAUAAAAACGAUAAAUAUGAACGACACAUCUUUGAUUAAUUAAUCACUAUUUUUACCAGCUUCGAGGAUCGUCUGUGGUGUGAUGGUCCUGUAACGAACAGCUUUCGCGUUCGCUUGUGAUCUGACGGUCUGGCUGGGCUGAUUCGAAUGUAAGACGGUUCGGCUGGUGGAUGGAGGCAUGGUUGGGUAAAAGUUAUCACUUCCGGGGUAAGGUUGAACCCCCUCCUUUUCUGUAAAAUGAGAUAUUUCUCAGCUGAAGAAAAGAACGUUACGUAUAUAUUUAUAAAAUCCACUCACUCAGAUUGUCGACCGCACGGUUAAUUUUAGACAAAUCAUCCAGGUGAAAAGGUACCGGUGUUUUACAAGUUAAUUCCUCUAUAGGAAUUUCUUCCCACUCGACGUCCGAUAUGACAAUAGCGUCUGAAAAUAAAGAUGUUAAACCAGAAAGAGAAAAAAAAGAUUUGCGUCUUAAGUUAAAAACUUACCCGUCAUCUUAGCUUGAUACACCUCAAAUCACGACUCCGAAAAUGCGCUUUACAUUUUAUACCGCUGUUUAAAAAAAUCUUGAAUAGAAAACGGUUGCGAUUGGUCGAAAAAAAAAUGUUUAUAAACAAUACA
RNAcentral lists this long non-coding RNA (1645 nucleotides) under Nothobranchius furzeri (turquoise killifish). RNAcentral's name for it is "lncRNA (ENSNFUG00015007848.1)". The record is from RNAcentral. Lineage: Eukaryota; Metazoa; Chordata; Actinopteri; Cyprinodontiformes; Nothobranchiidae.